UAAAUACGAUCAGGAGGUCCAAUUUUUG
RNAcentral lists this non-coding RNA (28 nucleotides) under Bombyx mori (domestic silkworm). Lineage: Eukaryota; Metazoa; Arthropoda; Insecta; Lepidoptera; Bombycidae. The record is from RNAcentral.